This 254-nucleotide ribosomal RNA is filed under the name uncultured bacterium. RNAcentral's name for it is "partial 16S ribosomal RNA". It matches the Rfam family "Bacterial small subunit ribosomal RNA", at positions 524 to 776 of the family's 1533-position model. The record is from RNAcentral.
UACGUAGGGUGCAAGCGUUGUCCGGAAUUAUUGGGCGUAAAGAGCUCGUAGGCGGUUUGUUGCGUCGGCUGUGAAAUCCCGAGGCUCAACCUCGGGUCUGCAGUCGAUACGAGCAAACUAGAGUGUUGCAGGGGAGACUGGAAUUCCUGGUGUAGCGGUGAAAUGCGCAGAUAUCAGGAGGAACACCGGUGGCGAAGGCGGGUCUCUGGGCCACUACUGACGCUGAGAAGCGAAAGCAUGGGGGAGCGAACAGG